Molecule: long non-coding RNA, 1992 nt
Organism: Fukomys damarensis (Damara mole-rat)
Lineage: Eukaryota; Metazoa; Chordata; Mammalia; Rodentia; Bathyergidae
Exons: 4
Source: RefSeq, a predicted model, not a curated record
GAUGUAUGUUCUUCUGGAACUCUCUGGAUGCGAUGUCACUCAGUACUGACUGUCCCUCUUAGGGCCACUCUGCAUUGAACAAGACUCCUGUAGGCUCGUGUUUCCCAACCAUGCGUGUAGGGCAAGAUCCUUCCGAAGCACUGUGACGCCUUCUUCUAAGAGCAAGGAAAUGCAAGCGCUGAUUUGCGUGCUGGGUGUUGAACCCACAUACUGGACAUCAGUUCGUACUUGAAAUCCGAUGCUACAUCUACUGCAUUCAAGGAAGUGUGUUUGCAGAAGGGUUUCAAGCCAGCUUCUUUCGAGCUUUAUGCUUAGGGCUCUGCCAGUUAACUUCAGUGAUGGCUGCAUGUGUUAAUCUGGAGCCUUCCUUUUGAGGAGCACCUUGCAGAACAGGGGUUCGGCCCAGAGUGACCAGGAAGAAAAAGCAAAACCCGAAGAGCCCAGGUUUCCAACAUCCCCUGUAAGGCCACGCCCUCAUGACCUCACUUCCGCCCACCUAGGCCCCACUUCCGGAGAACCCACUUCCGGAGGUCUCCGCCUAGUGCCAUAGGCCUGGGACCAAGCCUUCCACACAUCAGUCUGUGGGAACAUUUCAGACCCAAAGGACAGCACCUCCCGUGCCCACAGCCCGUCCUCCCUGCAGUUCCGAGGACGCAUAGUGAGGACAGGUUGUUGGUGUCUCGACAAAGAAUUGGACAGGACACACAGAAAAGGUAGCAAAGGUGCACGGGUAUUAAAGGUGAAAAAAGGCCCAUUGAGCUGUCCUCUUCACGGCUCUAGAAUUCUUCCGCCUCCCUGCCCUUCUAGCACUGUCUCCGCGGCCCCAGAGUCACUGUGAUGAAACUCAGAGCGUGUGAGUCCACGUCACCAGCUGUCGUGGGCUCCUCUCACUUGUCCAGACAGCGCCAAACUUCCUUCUCCAGGACCAGCGACUCCAGGGCUUGGAUUCCUGUCCUCUGGGAUCUUGCCGUGUCUUGCUUCUGCCCAGAUGAGCUGCCUGGUAUCCGAGCCCAGUGAAGUGGGACCUGCCUCCUCCCGCACCUAUUCUGCCCCUGGGCCUGAGAGGCAGGGCCGAGAGGUUGGCCCAUCCGGCUCCUCCUCACUCCCUGUCCCUGCCCUUCAGUCCUGCAGGACUGAGCUCUGGCGGCUUAUGGAGCCUAAUGUAUACCUCUCCUGCUACGAGACAUCGGUAGCCAAGUCGUGGGCAGUUGCACGCAGGACAAGGUGGGUAGGUCCAAUGGCCUGAAUCGUCCACCGAUACCCAGUGCAGGGAAGCAUCCGGGAGAAGCCAGGAUCCAGACACCACCCCAGAAGACAUCCAUACCACCAGGCUCUACCCUAGGUCCCAGGGUAGAGCUCCUGGGAGCUCUUCUGUUGCUGUCCCACAGGAAUGGCAAUGUAUUCCUCUUGGUUUUUAUCUCUAGGGUAACCUUUCCCAACCUUAUCCAUCCCAGGAAGUACACACCAUAAAAAGAUCAUAUUUGUUAUCCUUUCUGUGUCCACCUGCCCGAUCCUGUGUGACUCCCUGAGUUUAUCCUAACAAAACAUCAUCCAUUUGCUCUGGGCCUAUAAUGUGUCCACACAGUUCCCAAUGGCAUCUUAUCUCCCCUUCAUCACCAAAGUCUAAACUUUCUCUUGGACACAGCUCCUAGAGCUUCUCUCACCCACUUCUCCUGCACUCCAGGCCCACACAGCUUGCUGGGACAUUUCCCAGAUUCCUCACCUGAGACCCCAAGUUCUCCGUGACUCCUCACCUCAGUGCCUGGCACUGAAGUCCCCCAUAGCGUGAUGCGAAUCCUCUACCUGGCCUGCUCUCUUUAAUUCUGCAGCACCAUCAUUCCCUAGAGGCCAUCAUAAGAAUGCCCCCAGUUUUCAUUAGAAACCAGAGUCUAGCGAUUUUGUGGGGAGGGACGUGACACGAGACCCCAACACAGGGACGUGCUUUGCUGCUUCACCGUUAACCAGAACUACACACAGACACAGCAGAAUAAA